This 254-nucleotide ribosomal RNA is filed under the name uncultured prokaryote. Its description in RNAcentral is "partial 16S ribosomal RNA". It matches the Rfam family "Bacterial small subunit ribosomal RNA", at positions 524 to 776 of the family's 1533-position model. The record is from RNAcentral.
GACAGAGGGGGCAAGCGUUGCUCGGAUUUACUGGGCGUAAAGGGCGCGUAGGCGGCCACCGCAAGUCGGUUGUGAAAUCUCCGGGCUUAACCCGGAAAGGUCAACCGAUACUGCGGGGCUAGAGUGCAGAAGGGGCAACUGGAAUUCUCGGUGUAGCGGUGAAAUGCGUAGAUAUCGGGAGGAACACCAGUGGCGAAGGCGACUACCUGGCCCACUCUUGACGCUGAGGCGCGAAAGCUAGGGGAGCAAACGGG